Molecule: ribosomal RNA, 100 nt
Filed under: uncultured bacterium
Lineage: Bacteria
Description: partial 16S ribosomal RNA
Rfam family: Bacterial small subunit ribosomal RNA
Source: RNAcentral
UACACACCGCCCGUCACACCAUGGAAGUCUGUUGCACCAGAAGUCGGUAGUCUAACCGCAAGGGGGGCGCCGACCACGGUGUGGCCGAUGACUGGGGGUG